AGUGAACGCUGGCGGUAGGCCUAACACAUGCAAGUCGAACGGCAGCACAGUAAGAGCUUGCUCUUACGGGUGGCGAGUGGCGGACGGGUGAGGAAUACAUCGGAAUCUACUUUUUCGUGGGGGAUAACGUAGGGAAACUUACGCUAAUACCGCAUACGACCUACGGGUGAAAGCAGGGGAUCUUCGGACCUUGCGCGAUUGAAUGAGCCGAUGUCGGAUUAGCUAGUUGGCGGGGUAAAGGCCCACCAAGGCGACGAACCGUAGCUGGUCUGAGAGGAUGAGCAGCCACACUGGAACUGAGACACGGUCCAGACUCCUACGGGAGGCAGCAGUGGGGAAUAUUGGACAAUGGGCGCAAGCCUGAUCCAGCCAUACCGCGUGGGUGAAGAAGGCCUUCGGGUUGUAAAGCCCUUUUGUUGGGAAAGAAAAGCAGCAGGUUAAUACCCCGCUGUUCUGACGGUACCCAAAGAAUAAGCACCGGCUAACUUCGUG
This 492-nucleotide ribosomal RNA is filed under the name uncultured bacterium. RNAcentral's name for it is "partial 16S ribosomal RNA". It matches the Rfam family "Bacterial small subunit ribosomal RNA", at positions 29 to 507 of the family's 1533-position model. The record is from RNAcentral.